GCCAGAGACUUUCAGAGUCAUCAUCCUAUGAGAUUACAUAGGAUGUUCUCUCCUCCUACAAAGAGUGAUCGAUUUCUUAUUGACCAUACACAACCUUCAUGCACACUUCGCCAUACCCAGAAUAUCUCACAUACAUCUCAAAGUGGUGUGCUGGGGAAUAAAUCAAAGUAAGGAUCCAUGUACACAAGGUACCAUAGUGAUCUCAGGUCAAAGGAUUACAUGCACCACUUCCACUGAAGAACCAUCUAUUGACAUGCUGUAAGGCUCCAUCAGAUAUUUUUUUGGUGGGUCAGUUCAGUGAACUCAUUCUCUAAUGAGUA
RNAcentral lists this long non-coding RNA (320 nucleotides) under Elaeis guineensis (African oil palm). RNAcentral describes it as "long non-coding RNA (EGUI_LNC058274)". Lineage: Eukaryota; Viridiplantae; Streptophyta; Magnoliopsida; Arecales; Arecaceae. The record is from RNAcentral.